AUGGCGGUGGUGGAUUGCGGUGGUGCACACGGAGUCCUAGAGUGGAUGAGAAGAAACAUUUAAGUGCUCCAGACGCACUUGAGUGAUAGUCACUCUUGAGUUCCCAACCCUCAGCCUGCUCUGCAAGUGAUGGCCUGAAGACAGGGAGCUACCUUUUACUUCUUCAUACAGUCAACAAAAAACUUCUUGAUUGAAUUUGAUUCAUCUGUCAUUUGUGAAAUUAAAGACUUAAAAGAGA
This is a long non-coding RNA of Grammomys surdaster, 238 nucleotides long. RefSeq lists it as uncharacterized. The record is from RefSeq and is a predicted model, not a curated record. The transcript has 2 exons. Lineage: Eukaryota; Metazoa; Chordata; Mammalia; Rodentia; Muridae.